AUGACUAGGGAUAACCUUAGGAAGAGACACAUCAUCAAACCCCUUGAUUGUGUUUACUGCUUGGAACAAGAGUCUUGUUCUCACCUAUUUUUUGAUUGUAUAGUUGCUAAACAUCUCUGGGCCCACAUUGAGGAAUAUCUCUCUAGUCAGAUUGGCUCAUCCUUCGAAUCUGUCGCCAGAUUCUGGAUUGCUACCAAAAAGAGCUCAGUUUUAAACACUGUUAGCUCAGCUGUCCUUUGGUGCCUCUGGAAAUAUAUAAAUGCUAUGAUUUUCAGUAACACCUCCUGGAUUUCCAUUCCGCAAGUCUUGAGGUUGAUCAGGAACAUGGUGAGGAACUAG
RNAcentral lists this ribosomal RNA (339 nucleotides) under Triticum aestivum (bread wheat). RNAcentral describes it as "partial small subunit ribosomal RNA". The record is from RNAcentral. Lineage: Eukaryota; Viridiplantae; Streptophyta; Magnoliopsida; Poales; Poaceae.